UACGGCCGCAAGGUUAAAACUCAAAUGAAUUGACGGGGGCCCGCACAAGCGGUGGAGCAUGUGGUUUAAUUCGAUGCAACGCGAAGAACCUUACCUGGUCUUGACAUCCACAGAACCCUGUAGAGAUACGGGGGUGCCUUCGGGAACUGUGAGACAGGUGCUGCAUGGCUGUCGUCAGCUCGUGUUGUGAAAUGUUGGGUUAAGUCCCGCAACGAGCGCAACCCUUAUCCUUUGUUGCCAGCGGUCCGGCCGGGAACUCAAAGGAGACUGCCAGUGAUAAACUGGAGGAAGGUGGGGAUGACGUCAAGUCAUCAUGGCCCUUACGACCAGGGCUACACACGUGCUACAAUGGCGCAUACAAAGAGAAGCGACCUCGCGAGAGCAAGCGGACCUCAUAAAGUGCGUCGUAGUCCGGAUUGGAGUCUGCAACUCGACUCCAUGAAGUCGGAAUCGCUAGUAAUCGUGGAUCAGAAUGCCACGGUGAAUACGUUCCCGGGCCUUGUACACACCGCCCGUCACACCAUGGGAGUGGGUUGCAAAAGAAGUAGGUAGCUUAACCUUCGGGAGGGCGCUUACCACUUUGUGAUUCAUGACUGGGGUGAAGUCGUAACAAGGUAACCGUAGGGGAACCUGCGGUUGGAUCACCUCCUUA
RNAcentral lists this ribosomal RNA (652 nucleotides) under Escherichia coli. RNAcentral describes it as "bacterial SSU rRNA". It matches the Rfam family "Bacterial small subunit ribosomal RNA", at positions 881 to 1533 of the family's 1533-position model. Lineage: Bacteria; Pseudomonadati; Pseudomonadota; Gammaproteobacteria; Enterobacterales; Enterobacteriaceae. The record is from RNAcentral.